Molecule: long non-coding RNA, 225 nt
Filed under: Elaeis guineensis (African oil palm)
Lineage: Eukaryota; Viridiplantae; Streptophyta; Magnoliopsida; Arecales; Arecaceae
Description: long non-coding RNA (EGUI_LNC077618)
Source: RNAcentral
CUCAAGGUGGAUUUUUAUCUUUGGCUAGCUCAAUUGCUUUAUCAGCAGAUCUGUCACGUUGUCCGCAGAGUCUACUCUUCGUACCUCGACAUAUUUUUUUUCGAGAUAGUCGUGUAUGAUAUAGUACCACCAUUCGAUGUGCUUUAAUUUCUGAUGAGAUCUCGACUCUUUAGCAAGUGCCAUGACUCCAUUAUUGUUGCAAUAAAGUGGUAUAGCAUCCGAUGU